This 295-nucleotide unclassified non-coding RNA is filed under the name Hevea brasiliensis (rubber tree). The record is from RNAcentral. Lineage: Eukaryota; Viridiplantae; Streptophyta; Magnoliopsida; Malpighiales; Euphorbiaceae.
AAUAACUGGUUCAUCAAUCAAAGAAAACGCAAUUGGCAUAGCAAUUCACAGUCUGUGACAUCUCUAAAGUCCAAACGCAAGAGAUAAGAAAACGAACGAUCAAAAUGAAGCAACACAUAUAUAGGUAUGAUGAUGGUGAUAUGAAGAAUUCUGAACUGUCAAUCGUGAUCUCUAUGACAUGGGAAAAAUGUUAGGUAAUUCGCGUAGAUUAGGACGGAUUGUAAUAUAUAUGGUACUCAGAAUUGGUAUACAUGUAUUGACAUUUUCAGUAUUAUACAAACUAACAGUACUUUUG